UUCCCUAUAUGUUGCUUCGAUAUAGGGAGGUUAUGAUCUAAUAGAAACAGUUGGAAGACUGUUCUGUCCACAUUGUCACUUCCAUAUAUAUUUUGUUUUGCACUGUGCAUUCGUUUAAGACCCAUCAACUAGCCCAAAUUAAUUUACAUAUCUCAUAAAAGCAAGUGCACUGCAGUUGGAGCUUUGGAAAUAGGCCUGUGUUUAAAACAGAUUCGAGUGGUCGACACAUGAAGUGGGCUCAUUCAUGUGAGUAUCCAUGUCAGUGCUAAGAUUUGUGAUUUCGAGCUUCUCAAUUAGUUUAGAGUGUCAAACAAGCUCAAAUGAUUUUCUGUCUGCAAUACAGGAAUAUAACAUCAAUCCGGCCAGGUUUACCAAGAAUGCUAGCAAAUGCUUGCAUGUAUAAACCCGUGAUCCAACUUCCAAUAAAUCGUUGAAAGUA
Molecule: long non-coding RNA, 439 nt
Filed under: Dermacentor andersoni
Lineage: Eukaryota; Metazoa; Arthropoda; Arachnida; Ixodida; Ixodidae
Description: uncharacterized LOC126538404
Source: RNAcentral